GAGGAGGAGGCGGGAGAGAGUGUGGAGGACAUUUUCUCAGAGGUCGUGGGCCGGAAGCGGCAGCGGUCAGGACCCAACAGGGGAGCCAAGAGGCGGAGGGAGGAGGCCCGGCAGCGGGACCAGGAAUUCUACAUCCCCUACCGGCCCAAGGACUUUGACAGCGAGCGGGGCCUGAGCAUCAGCGGGGAAGGGGGAGCCUUUGAGCAGCAGGCAGCUGGCGCUGUCCUGGACUUGAUGGGGGAUGAAGCCCAGAACCUGACGAGGGGCCGGCAGCAGCUCAAGUGGUGAGUGAUCGAGUGAGCCGCCCCUCCAUGCUCGGGGUGAGUGACCGAGUGAGCUGCUCCUCCGUGCCUGGGGUGAGUGAUCGAGUGAGCCGCCCCUCCCUCCAUGCCCGGGGUGAGUGAGUGAGUGAGCCGCCCCUCCAUGCCCGGGGUGAGUGAUCGAGUGAGCUGCCCCUCCAGGCCCAGGGUGAGUGAGAGAGUGAGCUGCCCCUCCAUG
RNAcentral lists this long non-coding RNA (498 nucleotides) under Homo sapiens (human). RNAcentral's name for it is "non-protein coding lnc-RASAL1-3:1". The record is from RNAcentral. Lineage: Eukaryota; Metazoa; Chordata; Mammalia; Primates; Hominidae.